Molecule: long non-coding RNA, 322 nt
Organism: Mesoplodon densirostris (Blainville's beaked whale)
Lineage: Eukaryota; Metazoa; Chordata; Mammalia; Artiodactyla; Ziphiidae
Exons: 3
Source: RefSeq, a predicted model, not a curated record
UGGAAAGUUCAAACCGGACGUGUUGCUCGCGCCGCUGGCGGAGACCGCGGCGGAGGCUCUGCCCAAGUUCUCCGGGCCGAGCGCCCGGCGGCGUCCUGCGCCCGCGCCCCGCCGCCUCCAGCCACGCUCCCGGCUCGGGCUCCGCGCCCAGCGACCGCAGCAAGACUUGAAUGCAGCGAUCAUCUAAAUUAGAGAAAGGAGAUAAAAAUAACCUCUGGAUAUUCCUCUCGUGUGAUAUUUAUUCUGGAUGAAGCAUUAAGAUCUCUACUAGAGGUGUAUCACUGCAGUUUGCUGCCAGAAGUGUGCUUUGCUUCGAAAAGGU